GGCUCAGGAUGAACGCUGGCGGCGUGCUUAACACAUGCAAGUCGAACGAUGAUCCGGUGCUUGCACCGGGGAUUAGUGGCGAACGGGUGAGUAACACGUGAGUAACCUGCCCUUAACUCUGGGAUAAGCCUGGGAAACUGGGUCUAAUACCGGAUAUGACUCCUCAUCGCAUGGUGGGGGGUGGAAAGCUUUUGUGGUUUUGGAUGGACUCGCGGCCUAUCAGCUUGUUGGUGAGGUAAUGGCUCACCAAGGCGACGACGGGUAGCCGGCCUGAGAGGGUGACCGGCCACACUGGGACUGAGACACGGCCCAGACUCCUACGGGAGGCAGCAGUGGGGAAUAUUGCACAAUGGGCGGAAGCCUGAUGCAGCGACGCCGCGUGAGGGAUGACGGCCUUCGGGUUGUAAACCUCUUUCAGUAGGGAAGAAGCGAGAGUGACGGUACCUGCAGAAGAAGCGCCGGCUAACUACGUGCCAGCAGCCGCGGUAAUACGUAGGGCGCAAGCGUUAUCCGGAAUUAUUGGGCGUAAAGAGCUCGUAGGCGGUUUGUCGCGUCUGCCGUGAAAGUCCGGGGCUCAACUCCGGAUCUGCGGUGGGUACGGGCAGACUAGAGUGAUGUAGGGGAGACUGGAAUUCCUGGUGUAGCGGUGAAAUGCGCAGAUAUCAGGAGGAACACCGAUGGCGAAGGCAGGUCUCUGGGCAUUAACUG
Molecule: ribosomal RNA, 708 nt
Filed under: Arthrobacter sp. SMCC B0613
Lineage: Bacteria; Bacillati; Actinomycetota; Actinomycetes; Micrococcales; Micrococcaceae
Description: bacterial SSU rRNA
Rfam family: Bacterial small subunit ribosomal RNA
Source: RNAcentral